GCGUGUCCUAUUUCUUGCAUUUGCAUUCUCACAGCAAGCUGGCCACGUACUCUUACACACUGGAAUCAGCCACAAGCAGAGGAGAUUUACACUUAGCAUUGAAAUCUGAUGAACACUCAGCUACUCAAGAAGGAAAAGACUCGGGGCAUUCAAAAAGAUGUGUACCAGAUCCUAGGAUGAGUACACUGUAACUUGCAAAGCUACCUGAGGCACAGCAGGAGAAGGCAGCUUUUGUGGACAGGGGAGUCAACUAUAUUCAUGUGUGACUCUCUAAGCAGAAGACCGAGAAGUCAAAAUUGAAUUUUCACAGCACGCCGAUGUCUUGCAUUCCAAGGAAUUCAUGGAGCCACUAGAGUCCAGAGGAAGCAAAAAUCAAGGACUGUCUAAGAAGAAAAAGAUUCUGAUCCCCACAUAGACAGAACGAGAAGGAAGAGGCCUGACCACAAGCUGAGUCUUCAGUACAACAAGUGCAUAAGUUGAACUUUGUGGUUGAACGUAAUGUUUUAUCAUCUUUUGUUGUUAAAGGUGGCCAGACACGUGAAAUCUCCACCACUGAAGGUCUUUAAGAACAUAUUAGGUAGCUGCAAGUCCUAAUUAGUUCUUUGAUCCUACCCUGGAGCAAGAGGAUGUAUUAAGUAACCAGUUUACAUCCCUUACAACUUAUUAUUUUUAAUAAUUAGUGCAGCCUCGUUAAAGGUCACCAUUUAUUACUCUCAUUCAGAUCUAAAUCACAUUUUCAUGCUACUGCACAGUGUUGAAAUGCACAUUAAUAUGUUGUUAACUAUAGGUUUUCUAAGCAGUCCAUUCAGACUUCAACAAAGAAAAAAUACCGGAUCCCCAGUUUAGAUAUACCACAUCCACAAUUCAGAACAAGCAAUAUGAAAAAAGAUAGCUUUAAAAGAAUGGUAUAUUUAUUUUUGCCUAAGGGUUUAAGAUUAGUAUAUGUGAAUGAACCUGAAGUCUGCACAUACUAAUUCUUCAGAACUUCUUUAAUCUAUUCAGAAAUGGGAUUUUUAUAUAUCCAUUUGAUCAUAUCCAGAGAGACUGUAUUCAAUCUUAACCAACAAUGUGCAAAUAUAUAUUAAAAUAUUAACAAACCAAGGAAAAACAGUAUUUUCAAGUUUCUGUUUGAUAAUGACCCCUACAAAGUGCUUCAAAGUAUGGUACAGAAAGGUCUGCAAUGCCAGAAUCGGCAAUUUUAAAUGAAAAUUGUGUCUUGUUUCAUUUUGAUUAUACGUACCUAGACAUGUCAUUAAUUUGUGGUAACUAGAUUAUUUUUAUUAUCUCAAAAUGAGUACCUGAGAAUGUUAUAAAACUCUAGAAAAAUCCAGAUUAAGGGUUGUAUGAACAAAAUAGCACAUUCGGUGAUGGGUAGUCCUCCCCUAGAUAGACUGGCCAUACCAGGUAUUGUAAAGCUCAGUCUAUCCUGCUACUCUGAUUCCAAGACAGGCAGAAAGUACCUGCCAUGGGAGGAUAUAAGAAUAUGAUAAGAAUCUGCAACACUGCCUGAGAAUCCUCCUAGUCAUCAACCAUUCACUGCUCAGGGACUUAAUGAACUAAAACACCGCCAUACAGCCAACAUCCCUUAAAGGAGGCUUGAGAUACCAAAGUUUAACACAGUAACUCAGGUCAGUAAGUACCACUAAUUCACAGUUUUGAGAUGAUACAGCUUGUAAUAUCCUCAAUUUGAUCCUUCGUACAUUUUACUAUAAAUAAACAAUGUCUUCAGCAAAGUUUGCAGACAUGUCUGAUUUUCCAAAUCAUUAAUAACCAGCUAAAAUAGCAACACGAGAACUUAGCAGGCUGUUCAAGCAGUGCAGGCAAUUUUGGAAGGAACUUAAAGACCAAUGUCAACGGGAAAAAAAAAAGAGCCUGAUUUUCCCACUAAUUCCUCUAAUAGCUCAAGAGGCUGCACAAUUUCCUUUGUGCAUUUUCAUUUUAGUGGGAAAACAAUCAAAAUGUUCCUUUAAGUAUAUGAAAACUGCAUAGCACAGAAGCAUACAGCAAGCUACAACCAGAAGAAAUAACUAAAAGCAAAAGGAGAAAGAAUACUGGAUGUAUUUCUAGAAUUUUACAUAGCCUUUAUCCCCUCAACAGCACUUUCUGCAGAGUCUGAGCAGAAAACUUUUUUCCUUAGAAAAGCAUUAUCUUUGGUAGUACAGUGUUUUGCCUCAGGAAACAGUCCUAGGAAAGCUCCCAAACUCAGAAACUUGAAAUGCCCCAAACUUCUGUUACUUCCUCCUAACCAAAAUAUCAAGAGAAACAGACUUCUAUUGCAACUCAACAUAGUGAGCAUAUUCUUUCUAUACCCGUUAUGACUUUCAGAUAAACAAUGCAAAAAGAAAAGGAAAGGAAUGACUAUCAAUCUUAAGGAAGAAUAAAAAAGGAGAAAAAAGAGCUUUGUUUUGUUUGUUUGUUUGUUUUGUUUGUUUUUUACCUGGAGGAACAUGUACAUCAACUAUCUGUAGCAAAGAAGUCUAGUAACAUCUGUGCAGAAAGCAUUACUCUACCAUCACAGAUCCUGAAGGAAUUCAUUUUGCACCUGUUUUAGACGAAUUCUGGAGUGGACCUUCCAAAACACUUGCAGUAGCAUUGAUGACUAAGGGAAAAAAUAAAAAAAAAAAAUAGGAGCCAUGGCAUUAACACCUACUUAGUAUAUACUGGAAAAUCCACGGGAGAUUAGAGGAUUAGAAAUGCUAGAAUAAAGAUUUCUUUAUGGGUAUAACGAGAGCAAUUUCCCCAGAUAACUAAAAAUAAAUUAAAAAAAUGUGUAAAAAGAAAAGUUAAAACAUAUUUAGCUAUGCCUUUCAGAAUCAUGUUAUUCAUUCACAGAGUUUCACAAACUCCAGAAAGGUUUGUCAAUAUGAUACAGUUUCUGCCUAGUGCUUUGCUUCAAAAAUUUUCUAUACUUUACAUAAAAAUUUAAGAUCUCAUACAUGUAUUUCUAAACCAGAUUAUUUAAGAUAAAAUGACCUCGUUAGCUGUAGUAGCUAAACAGAAAUCAUUAUUAUGUUGCUUUGUGUGAUUUGAAUAUACUGUACAUACAUAACAUAUAUACAUUGACAAAGACUGAUCUACCUUAAAAACUAGCAUUUACUCACCUUGUUCAUGAAUACUUUGCUUCAAAUUUGACUUUUUUAAAAUGAUCAACGUAUUAAGUUCCUGCUCUGUAAUUUUCUGUUAUAAAUUUAACCCUUCUUAUGCUUAACUUAGAAGUUAAUUCAAUUCCUCCAUCAAAAAUGCCAGAAAUCUGGCACUGAAGAACAGACCACAGGAAAUACAGAACUGAAUAUUUCAAAGUCUAUUUCUCUUGUUUCAAAAAUACCUGUUCCUAUCUCAACCCCACACAGUGUUUUUUUGUUUGUUUUGUUCUGUUUUUCCUCCAUCUCGUUCCCCGCCCAAGUGACCACUAUGUGUGAUGAGCCACGUUUUCCUGGAGAUGGCCCAAAGCCUGCCUCUGAACAGGAAGCUAUGAAUAAAUUCCACAUUUUGCUUCACCUAUUAAGUUGUCUCUAUAUCAACCCACCAGUUUUCUCACUUCUACCUCUGCAAUUCACUCCCCCAUCCCACGGGUAACAAAAUUUAGUUACCCAUGCAAGAUUGAUUUCAUUUUUUAGAAAACACACAUUUUCAAUGUAUUAGAUUCUUCGAUGAGCAUGCCCUACUUUCCUCGAAGUACACUUGAAUUACUCCCUGGGAAAAGGAAUUAUUCCUAGCUCAUUAAUCAGUUAUCCUGGUUUGGGCUGAAAAAGAGUUAAUUUUAUUCAGA
Anas platyrhynchos (mallard) is the source of this 3769-nucleotide long non-coding RNA. RefSeq lists it as uncharacterized. Lineage: Eukaryota; Metazoa; Chordata; Aves; Anseriformes; Anatidae. The record is from RefSeq and is a predicted model, not a curated record.